AUUCAAUAAAGCUUCAGUUUUUCCUUUCCUAUUUUAUGAGUUACGUAUAAACACCAACACAUUACUGCUAGUAGAACUAUUACUGAUGAUAGGACCAUAGAUUAUGUUGCCUGGGAAUCGAUCAUGAAUUAUGUUGAAAGUUUAGUUUCAAUUUUUUGAAACUUCUUGGGCUGAUGGAGGAAGAAAUCAUCCACAAGCAAUUCAAAUGCUUUGAGGAAGGAGCUUAGGUCAAAACUCAAAGAUGUUGUUGAAGGAAAUGAAGAUAUUUGUUGUGUUUAAUUGCAUGUUUUGUGGCACAGAAGAUACUUGUUUUGAGUCCUCAUAUUGAUAUUUCAUGCACAUGCCAAUUAGGUACUGUGUAUGUGAAUUGGGAUUAUGUUAUUUUAAGAAAAUUAUUUCUUUAGACAUAGUUUGACUUUUGUUAUUCUGCAAAACUAAUUGGUACCUUAGAAUAAGUCUUCAAAUGAGACAGUAGAGGCUGUGGCAUAUACAAGCAUAUCUUAUUUCCUGCAUAGCCUUAUUCAUUGAUUUUGAUACCUUGUAUUCAUUGAUUUUGAUA
Molecule: long non-coding RNA, 559 nt
Organism: Medicago truncatula (barrel medic)
Lineage: Eukaryota; Viridiplantae; Streptophyta; Magnoliopsida; Fabales; Fabaceae
Exons: 2
Source: RefSeq, a predicted model, not a curated record